AUGAGCACUUUUCUUCUGACCAAGAAUGUUUGUAAGAGUCUUACUUCACCAUUGGCUAAGUACUUUUGGAGUAGCUCUCUUGACAAGAAAUCAUUGCAUUGGGUGUCCUGGAAGGAGCUAGCUACACCUAAGUGCAAGGGUGGUAUGGGUUUCCGAGACCCUCAUUUUUUCAAUCUUGCUAUGUUGGGCAAACAAGGGUGGCGGUUCAUCACCAACCCCAAUUCCCUUUGUGCAAGAGUUUUGAAAGGCCGCUACUUCCCCGCUACUGAUUUCAUGCAGGCUACUGUACCGAAGUCGGCGUCGGCCACUUGGAGGGCGAUCAUGGCCGGGAGGGAGGCCCUACGAUCUGGACUGAUUUCCCGCGUGGGCGAUGGCUCCUCCAUUUCGGUUUGGAAUGACAAGUGGAUUCCAGGUACAAUAUUCAUGUCUCCUAUUUUUUGGCCACAACACGCGACUGUUUAG
RNAcentral lists this ribosomal RNA (462 nucleotides) under Triticum aestivum (bread wheat). Its description in RNAcentral is "partial small subunit ribosomal RNA". Lineage: Eukaryota; Viridiplantae; Streptophyta; Magnoliopsida; Poales; Poaceae. The record is from RNAcentral.